GCCCUGGUGGUGCAGCAGUUACAUGUUCGGCUGCUAACUGCAAGGUUGGUGGUUCAAGCCCACCCAGUGGCU
Molecule: transfer RNA, 72 nt
Filed under: Loxodonta africana (African savanna elephant)
Lineage: Eukaryota; Metazoa; Chordata; Mammalia; Proboscidea; Elephantidae
Rfam family: tRNA
About the family: Transfer RNA (tRNA) molecules are approximately 80 nucleotides in length. Their secondary structure includes four short double-helical elements and three loops (D, anti-codon, and T loops).
Source: Rfam by way of RNAcentral